Molecule: ribosomal RNA, 292 nt
Filed under: uncultured bacterium
Lineage: Bacteria
Description: partial 16S ribosomal RNA
Rfam family: Bacterial small subunit ribosomal RNA
Source: RNAcentral
GUGUCAGCCGCCGCGGUAAGACAGAGGAUGCAAGCGUUAUCCGGAAUGAUUGGGCGUAAAGCGUCUGUAGGUGGCUUUUUAAGUCUGCCGUCAAAUCCCAGGGCUUAACCCUGGACAGGCGGUGGAAACUACCAAGCUGGAGUACGGUAGGGGCAGGGGGAAUUUCCGGUGGAGCGGUGAAAUGCGUAGAGAUCGGAAAGAACACCAACGGCGAAAGCACUCUGCUGGGCCGACACUGACACUGAGAGACGAAAGCUAGGGGAGCGAAUGGGAUUAGAUACCCUGGUAGUCC